AACGAACGCUGGCGGCAGGCUUAACACAUGCAAGUCGUACGCCCCGCAAGGGGAGUGGCAGACGGGUGAGUAACGCGUGGGAAUCUACCCAUCUCCGCGGAAUAGCUCCGGGAAACUGGUAUUAAUACCACAUACGCACUACGGGGGAAAGAUUUAUCGGGGAUGGAUGUUGCCGGGUUGGAUUAGCUAGGUGGUGGGGUAAAGGCCUACCAAGGCGACGAUCCAUAGCUGGUCUGAGAGGAUGAUAAGCCACAUUGGGACGGAGACACGGCCCAAACUCCUACGGGAGGCAGCAGUGGGGAAUAUUGGACAAGGGGCGCAAGCCUGAUCCAGCCAUGCCGCGUGAGUGAUGAAGGCCUUAGGGUUGUACAGCUCUUUCACCGGUGAAGAUAAUGACGGUAACCGGAGAAGAAGCCCCGGCUAACUUCGUGCCAGCCGCCGCCGUAA
Molecule: ribosomal RNA, 447 nt
Filed under: uncultured bacterium
Lineage: Bacteria
Description: partial 16S ribosomal RNA
Rfam family: Bacterial small subunit ribosomal RNA
Source: RNAcentral